Molecule: long non-coding RNA, 335 nt
Filed under: Pan troglodytes (chimpanzee)
Lineage: Eukaryota; Metazoa; Chordata; Mammalia; Primates; Hominidae
Description: long non-coding RNA NONPTRT009308
Source: RNAcentral
UGGUUGCCUGUGUUGAUGGCUGUUCUGCAUGUACCAAGCACUGUGUUGAUGGCUUUACAUUGCUGUUAUCACAAAUACUUCCUCACUGCCUACCUUGCACCGGGCAAGGUUUAUUACCGAGGACACAGCUGUGAACAAGGUUUCUCACAAGAACCUCUCCUUGCAAAAACUAACCUGAAGCCCCUGAAAGAAGGAUCCUUGGAAACACAGAUCCUGCCCCUGCAAAGCCACUUUAGCUGGACAUGGAUGCAAAGAGAGCCCCAGACAUUCUGCGCGCAUGGUGUGUGGUUCACAGCACAUCUUGGACAUUAUUCCAAAUAGAGUCAUCCUCUUUU